This is a long non-coding RNA of Pseudoliparis swirei, 1491 nucleotides long. RefSeq lists it as uncharacterized. The transcript is spliced from 3 exons. Lineage: Eukaryota; Metazoa; Chordata; Actinopteri; Perciformes; Liparidae. The record is from RefSeq and is a predicted model, not a curated record.
UCCACCCAACAUCACACCAUGUUUCCCAGUCAACCCCAGUGGUGGCUGUCGUGUUUCAUCUUGUGUCAUAAUGCAACCGGUUAAUUGCGGUGGACAAUCCUCUGACUCGACAUUAACAUAUGAAUAACUUCAGUGUGUUAACACGUUGCCAACUCCUUCUCUUUCUUCCAGGUGAACAACUCAAUACUUUGACACUGUCCAAACAAUGAGUUGACAUGGAUUUGGUUUACACACGAGUUCUGAGCUACCGGCUGUCUAUAAGGUCACGGCCCGUUGCCCGUGCACUCAGUGUGAGUACAAACUCCAGCCGGGCCCAGGAGACAGAAUCCAGGUCCGAAGGGGGGAGCCGGAGCCCCUUCAACCUUCCUUCACCUCCACAGUGAAGAAGAAGAAGAAGAAGCAUACUGGCCGCUUUCCGAGCACCUGCAGUGUUUAUGACCCGUCCGGUGAGACUUUGUAUUCCUCACCACCUAAGCAUCAAAGCCCUCGGGAGGACGAGGCCGGCCCACGUCUCCCUCUCGGGAAGCUCAAGAAGGACUAGUCGGACAGAGGGAAGGACAAGAGGCUGAAACCGGAGGGAGGCCAGGAUGACUUGCGCAGAAAGAGAGACUCGGCUUUGGAGCAAACGAUACAAAAGGGACUCAUUUGAAUGCACCACACAACUUACAUUCUGGCAUUUAGAUAAACAGCAGACUCAUUAGCGCGACACGAGCCACAAAGAAAGACUCACGGGGUAGAAGUGAGAGGGAAGGCAGACAGAUCUCAACGCCCCGAAAAUAAACUCCACUCACUGACACCCCUCUGAGAUACAAGGCAACACCACACCGUCCCCUCGGUGUAACCCUGUCUCCACGGCAACAGCUCAACCUGACCUUGCCUAAUUUGUUCCAUUACAAGCGGCGGUCGCACAGCGCCCCUAAAUAUGCACCAGGUGGAAUGAAAGGCAUUGUGCACACAGAGCGAACAGAGCUGCCUUCCAGUCUCCAUGCACAGCCAGCGGGGAGAGAAACAACACGGAGGAGAGAUGGAGCGGAACCAACGACAAUUACCCCCAAAGUCUGGCUCGCUAAUGUGAAACCACGAAACAUCAGGACAGAACAUCGCUGUUCUCACUUGAAGUCUCUCCUGGUUUAUUUUAUGUUAAUCCAAAGAUAACACAGGUUACCAAACGAAUAUCUUCUUCAUUUGAGCUGCGUAAUUAACACGGGGAGCACUGUGAUGCGCUGCGGCAUAUUUAUAAGACCCUUUAAUGUCCCAUAAAUGUCGUUAUUGAUCUCAGACGAGUCCGAUCCAUGAGGAUCUUUUUAAAUCUCCGUCAAUCAUCAGUGAUCCUUGUGUUCGAGGUUCAUCGCAGUUGACCCGCUGUAACAUUGAUCCCAUUCUUAUACUGUAUAUUACAGCCAUAAAUAGGCUCAUUAUUAUUAUUUAAUGAUUUUAUUAGCUAUUGGUUAUAGAGGAGACUUGAAUUACAUGUUGGUCAUUUUUAAUGGG